Molecule: ribosomal RNA, 468 nt
Filed under: uncultured bacterium
Lineage: Bacteria
Description: partial 16S ribosomal RNA
Rfam family: Bacterial small subunit ribosomal RNA
Source: RNAcentral
GACGAACGCUGGCGGCGUGCUUAACACAUGCAAGUCGAACGGAAAGGCCCUGCUCUUGUGGGGUGCUCGAGUGGCGAACGGGUGAGUAACACGUGAGUAACCUGCCCUUGACUUUGGGAUAACUUCAGGAAACUGGGGCUAAUACCGGAUAGGAGCUCCUGCUGCAUGGUGGGGGUUGGAAAGUUUCGGCGGUUGGGGAUGUACUCGCGGCUUAUCAGCUUGUUGGUGGGGUAGUGGCUUACCAAGGCUUUGACGGGUAGCCGGCCUGAGAGGGUGACCGGCCACAUUGGGACUGAGAUACGGCCCAGACUCCUACGGGAGGCAGAAGUGGGGAAUAUUGCACAAUGGGCGGAAGCCUGAUGCAGCAACGCCGCGUGCGGGAUGACGGCCUUCGGGUUGUAAACCGCUUUCGCCUGUGACGAAGCGUGAGUGACGGUAAUGGGUAAAGAAGCACCGGCUAACUACGUG